UGAAGUUGACCGCCUGGGGAGUACGGUCGCAAGAUUAAAACUCAAAGGAAUUGACGGGGACCCGCACAAGCGGUGGAUGAUGUGGAUUAAUUCGAUGCAACGCGAACAACCUUACCUACCCUUGACAUGUCCGGAAGCCUGUAGAGAUACGGGGGUGCCCGAAAGGGAGCCGGAACACAGGUGCUGCAUGGCUGUCGUCAGCUCGUGUCGUGAGAUGUUGGGUUAAGUCCCGCAACGAGCGCAACCCUUGUCCUUAGUUGCUACGCAAGGGCACUCUAAGGAGACUGCCGGUGACAAACCGGAGGAAGGUGGGGACGACGUCAAGUCCUCAUGGCCCUUAUGGGUAGGGCUUCACACGUCAUACAAUGGCCGGUACAGAGGGUUGCCAACCCGCGAGGGGGAGCCAAUCCCAGAAAGCCGGUCGUAGUCCGGAUUGCAGUCUGCAACUCGACUGCAUGAAGUCGGAAUCGCUAGUAAUCGCGGAUCAGCAUGUCGCGGUGAAUACGUUCCCGGGUCUUGUACACACCGCCCGUCACACCAUGGGAGUGGGUUUUACCAGAAGCAGGUAGCCUAACCGUAAGGAGGGCGCCUACCACGGUAGGAUUCAUGACUGGGGUGAA
RNAcentral lists this ribosomal RNA (620 nucleotides) under uncultured Pseudomonadota bacterium. RNAcentral describes it as "bacterial SSU rRNA". It matches the Rfam family "Bacterial small subunit ribosomal RNA", at positions 860 to 1484 of the family's 1533-position model. The record is from RNAcentral. Lineage: Bacteria; Pseudomonadati; Pseudomonadota.